CUCUGCAGCCUCGACAUCAAGAGACAUGAUCAGGAUUAUACUCGUGUUUCAGUCACUUUACUGGAUUCAAGGAGUUGCAGAUGCAAAUGAUGUCUCUCAGCCCAGUAUACUCAGGGUUAAACUGGGCCAAUCAGCCACAAUAAAAUGCUCACAGACAAAGGGUGCAGCUUACAGAGAAAUGUACUGGUAUCGUCAAUAUCAAGGAGAGAGCAUGGAGCUCAUAGUGUACACUACCAACUUUAAAGAUCCAGACUUUGGAAAAUCCAACCAAAGUAAAUUUUCAGCGAAUAAAACAGUUCCUGAGGAAGGAUUCUUCACAGUGAAAGCUGUGGAUUAUAAUGACAGCGCUGUGUAUUUCUGUGCUGUGAGAGAACACAGUGUUUUAACCACAGGGCAGAGCUGUACAAAAACACACUGUGUGGAAGGCAGGAAGAAAUAG
Molecule: non-coding RNA, 439 nt
Organism: Neoarius graeffei (lesser salmon catfish)
Lineage: Eukaryota; Metazoa; Chordata; Actinopteri; Siluriformes; Ariidae
Source: the annotation of a RefSeq genome assembly